Molecule: unclassified non-coding RNA, 269 nt
Filed under: uncultured Tremellales
Lineage: Eukaryota; Fungi; Basidiomycota; Tremellomycetes; Tremellales
Description: sequence contains 5.8S rRNA gene, ITS2, 28S rRNA gene
Rfam family: 5.8S ribosomal RNA (bases 1-52)
Source: RNAcentral
AACGCACCUUGCGCCCUUUGGUAUUCCGAAGGGCAUGCCUGUUUGAGUGUCAUGAAAUCUCAAUCUCUCAAGUUCUUUUGAACUGGUUGGAUUGGACUUGGGUGAUUUGCCAGCAAUGGCUCGCCUCAAAUGACUUAGUGGAACAUCCCACAUCAGUGUCAGACGUAAUAAGUUUCGUCUUUCCUUGUGGUGAUGACUGCUUAGAACCUGCCAUCGCGCACUCUUUUGACUUUGACCUCAAAUCAGGUAGGGCUACCCGCUGAACUUAA